GCAAUGCCGCGUGAGUGAAGAAGGCCUUCGGGUUGUAAAGCUCUUUUGUCAGGGAAGAAACGGUGGUCGCUAAUAUCGGCUGCUAAUGACGGUACCUGAAGAAUAAGCACCGGCUAACUACGUGCCAGCAGCCGCGGUAAUACGUAGGGUGCAAGCGUUAAUCGGAAUUACUGGGCGUAAAGCGUGCGCAGGCGGUUAUAUAAGUCAGAUGUGAAAUCCCCGGGCUCAACCUGGGAACUGCAUUUGAGACUGUAUAGCUAGAGUGUGUCAGAGGGGGGUAGAAUUCCACGUGUAGCAGUGAAAUGCGUAGAGAUGUGGAGGAAUACCGAUGGCGAAGGCAGCCCCCUGGGAUAACACUGACGCUCAUGCACGAAAGCGUGGGGAGCAAACAGGAUUAGAUACCCUGGUAGUCCACGCCCUAAACGAUGUCUACUAGUUGUCGGGUCUUAAUUGACUUGGUAACGCAGCUAAC
Molecule: ribosomal RNA, 472 nt
Filed under: Undibacterium sp.
Lineage: Bacteria; Pseudomonadati; Pseudomonadota; Betaproteobacteria; Burkholderiales; Oxalobacteraceae
Description: bacterial SSU rRNA
Rfam family: Bacterial small subunit ribosomal RNA
Source: RNAcentral